Molecule: unclassified non-coding RNA, 261 nt
Filed under: uncultured fungus
Lineage: Eukaryota; Fungi
Description: partial contains small subunit ribosomal RNA, internal transcribed spacer 1, and 5.8S ribosomal RNA
Rfam family: Eukaryotic small subunit ribosomal RNA (bases 1-73)
Source: RNAcentral
CCAAACUUGGUCAUUUAGAGGAAGUAAAAGUCGUAACAAGGUCUCCGUAGGUGAACCUGCGGAGGGAUCAUUACAGAGUUUUUAACUCCCAACCCAUGUGAACUUACCACUGUUGCCUCGGCGGCAGGUCGUCUCUCGGGAUGGCAGCCGCCGGUGGACUACUAAACUAUUGUUAAUUUUUGGCAUUCUGAAUUUUAAACUUAAUAAGUUAAAACUUUCAACAACGGAUCUCUUGGUUCUGGCAUCGAUGAAGAACGCAGC